This 501-nucleotide ribosomal RNA is filed under the name uncultured Glomus. RNAcentral's name for it is "SSU rRNA". It matches the Rfam family "Eukaryotic small subunit ribosomal RNA", at positions 569 to 1074 of the family's 1831-position model. Lineage: Eukaryota; Fungi; Glomeromycota; Glomeromycetes; Glomerales; Glomeraceae. The record is from RNAcentral.
AGCAGCCGCGGUAAUUCCAGCUCCAAUAGCGUAUAUUAAAGUUGUUGCAGUUAAAAAGCUCGUAGUUGAAUUUCGGGGUCAGCAGGUUGGUCGUGCCUAUGGUAUGAACUGGCUUCGCUGGUCUCUCCUUUCUGAAGAACUGUAAUGCCAUUAAUUUGGUGUUGCAGGGACACAGGACUGUUACUUUGAAAAAUUAGAGUGUUUAAAGCAGGCUAACGCUUGAAUACAUUAGCAUGGAAUAAUGAAAUAGGACGUUCGAACCUAUUUUGUUGGUUUCUAGGAUUGACGUAAUGAUUAAUAGGGAUAGUUGGGGGCAUUAGUAUUCAAUUGUCAGAGGUGAAAUUCUUGGAUUUAUUGAAGACUGACUACUGCGAAAGCAUUUGCCAAGGAUGUUUUCAUUAAUCAAGAACGAAAGUUAGGGGAUCGAAGACGAUCAGAUACCGUCGUAGUCUUAACCAUAAACUAUGCCGACUAGGGAUCGGAUGAUGUUAAUUUUAAUGA